AUGAAACGGAGGCACUCCCGCCGAACCGGGUCACCCUCAGGGCGGGCGGCAGCGCCCGGUGCCAGCUCUUUGUCUGCCCGCUCCCCUCGCAGGGCAGGGCACGGCCCGGCCCUCCCGGCCUCACAAAGCCCCUCCUGGGGGCACGAGGGCGGGCAGAGGGUCCCGGCCCGAGCCGCUCUCCCCGGUUGGGGCCGCGGGCGCGAGGAGGCAGCGGCGGCCAUGACCGGCGGUGGGGGCCCUCNAAUUCCUUCUUUUACGCUCCUAUCAGAAGGACCUCUCCAGUUGCUAAGGAACUACGGGCUUUAUUGCAUUAUAAAUGAUUUAAGGCGGCCCGGCAGAUGCAGGUUCAGUAGGCGGGAGGAGAUGAGGAGAUGUUCCAUUUUACCGGCGGCACGAGGCGCCUCAGGAGGAGCCGGGGGGGGCCGACCCUGUUCCCCCCCCUCCUCCCUUUCUCCUCCUUCCCUCCCUUCCCCCCGAGGGGCCCCAAAUCACGAAGGAUUCCCCCCAAAGCCGGGGUCGCCCCCCCACCCGCGGGGCUGCCCACAGCGCACCCGCCGCCAUAGCAACGCGCCCCCCUCCCGGCUCCCCCGCCGCCGCCCUCCCUCACCGUUCUGCGCCGCGGCGGGUCCCGGCAGCAGCGCGGCCGUCGCCAGCAGCAGCGAGAAGGCGGCGGGGAGCGGCCCGGAGCGCGGCAUCUUCCUGAGGCAGGGGCAGGAGGAAGAGGAGGAGGAGGAAGGUGAGGAGGAGGGUGAGGCGGCGGCGGGAGCGGCGGCGGCUCCGUCCGUCCUUCUCCGCCGACCUCCUACCGCAGCGCAGCGCCGCUCUCGCGAGAUCCGCGGGGCGGGGGGCGACGCCGCCGGGGAGGGGACGGGCGAGGCGGGCGGGCGGUGUCAGCGCUCCCUGCUCCGACCCCUCCGGCCGCGGCUCCGUCUAUUGUUUCCUGCCCCCGCUGCGUGCGGCUCCCGGCGCCGCGCACCCCUUCGCGCGCCAACGCCGCCCAAUCAGAGCCCGCCGCCGGGGGGCGCCGACCAAUCAGCGGAGGGAGAGGGGGCGGUGACAGGGAGCGCGCGGCGGUCACGUGGGACGGCUCCCCCUGGGAGCCGCCAUUUUCCGGAGCGCCCCGGCGCGCUCUUAAAGGGGCCGCGCCCGGUGCUGAGGGGCAGCGGGUUCUGGGUCCGCUCCUGA
Molecule: long non-coding RNA, 1185 nt
Filed under: Parus major (Great Tit)
Lineage: Eukaryota; Metazoa; Chordata; Aves; Passeriformes; Paridae
Description: lncRNA (ENSPMJG00000006061.1)
Source: RNAcentral